AUUGAACGCUGGCGGCAGGCCUAACACAUGCAAGUCGAACGGUAGCACAGAGAGCUUGCUCUCGGGUGACGAGUGGCGGACGGGUGAGUAACGUCUGGGAAACUGCCCGAUGGAGGGGGAUAACUACUGGAAACGGUAGCUAAUACCGCAUAACGUCGCAAGACCAAAGUGGGGGACCUUCGGGCCUCACACCAUCGGAUGUGCCCAGAUGGGAUUAGCUAGUAGGUGGGGUAUGGCUCACCUAGGCGACGAUCCCUAGCUGGUCUGAGAGGAUGACCAGCCACGCUGGAACUGAGACACGGUCCAGACUCCUACGGGAGGCAGCAGUGGGGAAUAUUGCACAAUGGGCGCAAGCCUGAUGCAGCCAUGCCGCGUGUAUGAAGAAGGCCUUCGGGUUGUAAAGUACUUUCAGCGGGGAGGAAGGCGGUGAAGUUAAUAGCUUCACCGAUUGACGCUACCCGCAGAAGAAGCACCGGCUAACUCCGUGCCAGCAGCCGCCGUAA
Molecule: ribosomal RNA, 503 nt
Filed under: uncultured bacterium
Lineage: Bacteria
Description: partial 16S ribosomal RNA
Rfam family: Bacterial small subunit ribosomal RNA
Source: RNAcentral